This 578-nucleotide ribosomal RNA is filed under the name uncultured bacterium. RNAcentral describes it as "bacterial SSU rRNA". It matches the Rfam family "Bacterial small subunit ribosomal RNA", at positions 347 to 916 of the family's 1533-position model. The record is from RNAcentral.
GGCAGCAGUAAGGAAUAUUGCGCAAUGGAGGAAACUCUGACGCAGCAACGCCGCGUGGGGGAUGAAGCACUAUGGUGUGUAAACCCCUGUAGACAGGGACGAACGAUAUAUAUUCGUAAGGGUAUGUACGUGACGGUACCUGUAAAGUAAGCACCGGCUAACUCCGUGCCAGCAGCCGCGGUAAUACGGGGGGUGCAAGCGUUGUCCGGAAUUACUGGGCGUAAAGGGCGAGUAGGCGGCUUCAUAAGUCAGAUCUGAAAGCCCUCGGAUUAACCGUGGAACCGCAUUCGAAAGCAGUUGCCCUGAGUAUCCGAAGGGGUACACGUAUUCCCAAAGUAGCGGCGAGAAGGGCAGAUAUUGGCAAGAACUCCAGUAGAGAAGGGCACCCCCUGGAUCAUUACGGACGCUAACGCGGGAAAGCGCGGGGAGCAAACAGCAUGAGAUACCACGUUAGUACCCUCCGUAAUAUAUGGAUAUUAGAUGUGGGUUCAUUGGUAAACAAUCCGUAGUGCAUCAAACGCCUUAAGUAUCCGGUGCGGGGGGUUUUAUUGCGAGGUUCAAUAUUAAAUGAAUGGCGG